This is a non-coding RNA of Anas platyrhynchos (mallard), 4107 nucleotides long. Lineage: Eukaryota; Metazoa; Chordata; Aves; Anseriformes; Anatidae. The record is from RefSeq and is a predicted model, not a curated record.
AGCGCAGAAGAAGGAGGAGGCGUCGUGUGGAACGGCGAGGCAAGAGGGAGCGGCAGAUGGAAGACGGGCAAAGAGGAGGACACCCUGGGCAAAGGCUUCGCCCUGUUAGCGGGGCUGUAGGUAGAGGAGAGCAGUGCUGGCACGUGAGGUGCCUGGAUUGUUUUGUGCUGGGCGACCUCCCUGUAAGCAGGGCUCGGGUCUUUGCGAUUGUAAUCGGCCUUUUGCCUUGUUGCUCCUUUGGCUGCCUGGGGGGAGCGGCCCCCUGUAAUCAGGGGCACAGCUGCUCUCUCCGCACCCGGGAGGACUGUGGAGCUUGCCGGACCCCAGGGCCUCCCUGUAGUCAGGGCAGAGCCAAUUCCCCACCCCCUUAAUUUUAGCCGUCUGGCUCUUUGUCUAAACUAUUUGUCUAAACGUGAUGGGCUAUGGAAACUUAGUAUAUGACUGAUGCCUACGCUAUAAUGCCAACUAUUGCAUAAAAAGCAAUAUAAAAGCGAUAUAUAUAUAAUAUGACCUCUAUGAAUACUGUGAAAACAGAUUCUCUAAAGGAGAUGAAUGAUAAAUUCUGAUGCAUGCUGUGUUUCAGCACCCCGUAGCUGGGGUGCGUUGUCCAAUUGGGUCUCGGCAGAAGCCGUUUCGGCUUCUGGACGUCUCUGGCAUCACUGUAAUUGAUGGUGCGUGGGGUACCGCCCUGUAAGCAGGGUCAAGCGUAGCCCCGUGUCUCUCGCUGCAAGGAGCCCCCAGUAGCCAGGUGGGUCUCCGUGUCCCCCGCUUUCCAUGGGCCUGGGGCCUCUAGAAGUAGGGCCGGGUUUUCACCCUCCCUGUAAGCAGGGCCUGGGGCCCGAGCCUCGGCAUUCGGCCGUCUGGCUCCACUGGCGGGGGAAAGGUUGAGCUCUGCGGUUCCAUGGGUGUUGCGGACCCGCCUUAGCAGGCUUUGGUCCGGAGCCUUUUGCUCCGCUGGCAGCUGUGGGGUGCCUGACCCGUUAGCGGGAUGCAGGCUUGUGGGUUCCCCACUUUGGGGAGAAGGAGCCUCCCGCGGCCUCUGGGCCCAGGGCAGCCCUGUAACUCAGGGUGCUGAUGCUCUGGUUCCCUGGGCACUUGAAAUUGUCAAUGGCUCCUCGGAGCCGCCCUGUAAGCCAGGGGUCCAGGCUCUUGGGCCGUUGCUGUGUGUGCCCAGCUUUCAUUUGCCCUUGGUGCCAGCCUUGGAGCCCUGCCGCAGCGCCGCAUGAAGGUCCUCUGCGUGUACAACACGCAGCCAGCGCAGAAGAAGGAGGAGGCGUCGUGUGGAACGGCGAGGCAAGAGCGAGCGGCAGAUGGAAGACGGGCAAAGAGGAGGACACCCUGGGCAAAGGCUUCGCCCUGUUAGCGGGGCUGUAGGUAGAGGAGAGCAGUGCUGGCACGUGAGGUGCCUGGAUUGUUUUGUGCUGGGCGACCUCCCUGUAAGCAGGGCUCGGGUCUUUGCGAUUGUAAUCGGCCUUUUGCCUUGUUGCUCCUUUGGCUGCCUGGGGGGAGCGGCCCCCUGUAAUCAGGGGCACAGCUGCUCUCUCCGCACCCGGGAGGACUGUGGAGCUUGCCGGACCCCAGGGCCUCCCUGUAGUCAGGGCAGAGCCAAUUCCCCACCCCCUUAAUUUUAGCCGUCUGGCUCUUUGUCUAAACUAUUUGUCUAAACGUGAUGGGCUAUGGAAACUUAGUAUAUGACUGAUGCCUACGCUAUAAUGCCAACUAUUGCAUAAAAAGCAAUAUAAAAGCGAUAUAUAUAUAAUAUGACCUCUAUGAAUACUGUGAAAACAGAUUCUCUAAAGGAGAUGAAUGAUAAAUUCUGAUGCAUGCUGUGUUUCAGCACCCCGUAGCUGGGGUGCGUUGUCCAAUUGGGUCUCGGCAGAAGCCGUUUCGGCUUCUGGACGUCUCUGGCAUCACUGUAAUUGUUGGUGCGUGGGGUACCGCCCUGUAAGCAGGGUCAAGCGUAGCCCCGUGUCUCUCGCUGCAAGGAGCCCCCAGUAGCCAGGUGGGUCUCCGUGUCCCCCGCUUUCCAUGGGCCUGGGGCCACUAGAAGUAGGGCAGGGUUUUCACCCUCCCUGUAAGCAGGGCUUGGGGCCCGAGCCUCGGCAUUCGGCCGUCUGGCUCCACUGGCGGGGGAAAGGUUGAGCUCUGCAGUUCCAUGGGUGUUGCGGACCCGCCUUAAGCAGGCUUUGGUCCGGAGCCUUUUGCUCCGCUGGCAGCUGUGGGGUGCCUGACCCGUUAGCGGGAUGCAGGCUUGUGGAUUCCCCACUUUGGGGAGAAGGAGCCUCCCGCGGCCUCUGGGCCCAGGGCAGCCCUGUAACUCAGGGUGCUGAUGCUCUGGUUCCCUGGGCACUUGAAAUUGUCAAUGGCUCCUCGGAGCCCCCCUGUAAGGCAGGGGUCCAGGCUCUUGGGCCGUUGCUGUGUGUGCCCAGCUUUCGUUUGCCCUUGGUGCCAGCCUUGGAGCCCUGCCGCAGCGACGCAUGAAGGUCCUCUGCGUGUACAACACGCAGCCAGCGCAGAAGAAGGAGGAGGCGUCGUGUGGAACGGCGAGGCAAGAGGGAGCGGCAGAUGGAAGACGGGCAAAGAGGAGGACACCCUGGGCAAAGGCAACACGCGUAUGCAGAAGAAAGAAAUAACAGAAUUCUAGGGCUUGGGAGCGACCUCGAGAGGCCAUCGCAUUCAAUACCGUUGGCAAAAAAGGUUCCCUUGAUGAAAUGGCAUAGGGAGGCAUCCAUACAAGUCAAAAAUAACUGCAGAGAAGGUAGCUGAGCAGCCUGGUGCAGUAUUCCAUCACCUUCCACCAUAGUGGUACAGAACUUCCUGUGCUGCAUUCUGUGGCCAUUGCCCCUUGUCCUGUCCUCACAGACAGGUGAAAUAUUCUUGGCCGUUUUCUUCUUCCUCUUACACUCCACUUACACUUCCUCUUACACACCACUGUAAUUCUGCAGGAAGAGAUUUAAACUCAGGUUAUUACUAAAACUGAAUGGAAAGCAGCUUCCCUGCUGCCCAGAGGAGAAACGAUAUACACUGUGUGAAGCCUCGUUUGGAAGCCUGCUUAUUUAAAUAGCAAUUGGGAACAAAAAAAACUCAAUUUUCUUGGAGAAUUUGGGGAUCUUUAGAAACUUUUUGUUUUCUGUUUAAUGUCAACCUUUUUCCAAGAAAGACAAUAAUACAAGCAUUUGAAAACCCCACCUCUGUCAAAAAGCACUGAAAUAGAAAAUUUCUAAAUAAACAUUGUUAUCAUGUUAUUAUUAAUGUGAUAUCCAUGAUUUCUCACUCCCACUUUCCUUCUCCCUUUCACCCCAACCUCAUUCAAAAAUGUCGUAUAAGCAUAAAACAGGUGUCUUCCUCCAUUUGGCCUUCUUUGAAGUUUGUAAGUGGUGAUUUGCCUUAUCUAUGCUAGAAAAAAAAUAUUAGCUGGUACUAAUAAAUAAUUCUGCUACAAGAUUUCAACCCCGAGGCAGAAGACGACCCUGAGGACACUUUUGUAUGGGACCAAAGAUGUUCUUGUCCCAUUCCACAGUUAAAUCUAGACCUCACUGGGAAUUUAGCUCCAGUGUGCCUUUCUGACGAAUCAUGAUUUCAGAAGUACCUCUGUUAAAUAGCCUGUCUUGUUUUCUGGCUAAAGGAACACUGCUGAAUAGCCCUCAAAAUGUCUAAUUUACCCUCAUUGUGGGCUGCUGUAGUGGUUACUCAGUGGACAGCAAUGCAGUCCAUGUAAAGAGAGGCUUCAGUGGUGCUCUGCCUUGCUGAUAGCACUUGUCUGAGCUCCUGCUGCUGGCUGAAUUAAUUGCUGGAUCCUUGUGCAGUAGCAUUGUAAAGGAAGCACACAGAUAUGAUGCAAAUUCCAUUCUGAUGCUAUAAUGAAUGUUUGAUGGCAAUGUUAAAUUGCCACUAGAUGAACUAUAUACAGUGUAAAAUGCAGCCUUGCAAGAGGAUUGUCCUGGAGAAAUACUUGUCUGCAAUAAGCUUUUGCUUCCUAAUUAAAAACAGAGCGAGUGCCAGCACCGGGUGUGGAGGUGAAUCUGAUUAUAUAAAAGAAAGUCACCGGUCAGGCACUGAUUUGCAAGGAGAAGCGAUCAGAAAGGGACACAGCAAUGAACGAAACCA